Haliotis rubra (blacklip abalone) is the source of this 98-nucleotide long non-coding RNA. RefSeq lists it as uncharacterized. The record is from RefSeq and is a predicted model, not a curated record. The transcript is spliced from 3 exons. NCBI's taxonomy places the organism in Eukaryota, Metazoa, Mollusca, Gastropoda, Lepetellida, Haliotidae.
UUAAAUAAUACUUGAAAAACUCUACUGGAAAUCCAUCAAUUCCUGGACUCAUUAUUUUUCAUGCUUUUUACGACAGUUGCUGUUUCUUUAAGUGUAAU